CCUACGGGUGGCAGCAGUCGAGAAUCAUUCACAAUGGGGGAAACCCUGAUGGUGCGACGCCGCGUGGGGGAAUGAAGGUCUUCGGAUUGUAAACCCCUGUCAUGUGUGAGCAAAUUAAAAAGAUAGUACCACAAGAGGAAGAGACGGCUAACUCUGUGCCAGCAGCCGCGGUAAUACAGAGGUCUCAAGCGUUGUUCGGAAUCACUGGUCGUAAAGGGUGCGUAGGCUGUUUCGUAAGUCGUGUGUGAAAGGUGGCGGCUCAACCCUAAGAUGGCAAAUGAUACUGCGAGACUAGAGUAAAGUUGGGGGAACCGGAAUUCUCGGUGUAGCAGUGAAAUGCGUAGAUAUCGCGAAGAACACUCAUGGCGAAGGCAGCUUCCUAGACAUUAACUGACAUUGAGGCACGAAGGCCUGGGGAGCGAACGGGAUUAGAUACCCUAGUAGUC
This 446-nucleotide ribosomal RNA is filed under the name uncultured bacterium. Its description in RNAcentral is "partial 16S ribosomal RNA". It matches the Rfam family "Bacterial small subunit ribosomal RNA", at positions 338 to 795 of the family's 1533-position model. The record is from RNAcentral.